RNAcentral lists this ribosomal RNA (446 nucleotides) under uncultured bacterium. RNAcentral's name for it is "partial 16S ribosomal RNA". It matches the Rfam family "Bacterial small subunit ribosomal RNA", at positions 338 to 795 of the family's 1533-position model. The record is from RNAcentral.
CCUACGGGGUGCAGCAGUCGAGAAUCAUUCACAAUGGGGGAAACCCUGAUGGUGCGACGCCGCGUGGGGGAAUGAAGGUCUUCGGAUUGUAAACCCCUGUCAUGUGGGAGCAAAUUAAAAAGAUAGUACCACAAGAGGAAGAGACGGCUAACUCUGUGCCAGCAGCCGCGGUAAUACAGAGGUCUCAAGCGUUGUUCGGAAUCACUGGGCGUAAAGCGUGCGUAGGCUGUUUCGUAAGUCGUGUGUGAAAGGCGCGGGCUCAACCCGCGGACGGCACAUGAUACUGGGAGACUAGAGUAAGGGAGGGGGAACCGGAAUUCUCGGUGUAGCAGUGAAAUGCGUAGAUAUCGAGAGGAACACUCGUGGCGAAGGCGGGUUCCUGGACAUUAACUGACGCUGAGGCACGAAGGCCAGGGGAGCGAAAGGGAUUAGAUACCCUUGUAGUC